CUCUUUGCUCAUCAUUCUUUUCUGAAAUCUCCUUCAUGUAUCAAUAGUCAUUAACUUCAGCAUGUUUCCUAUUAGAUUCCUGCAACCUUUAUGUCUCAUGUUUUAGCUAGAGCAGAUUAUAAACACUACUAGGCUUCUUACAACCCAUCAUCUACAUGAAGGGUUCGUCAUAGACUAUAACCAAUCUUCUUAUAAGAGUUUAAUCCUUGAAAGUUCUGUCUUCUAGGGCUGUUCUUGUUGCUCACUUAGCAAUGAAUCAAGAAAUUAAAUAAAUUGUUCAAUUUGCUUUGGAGGUGGCUAUAUUUUUUUCUUUUCCGAGAGAGAUGACAAUGAAUCACAGGGAUCGGACUGUGCUCGCUGUGGGAUGGACAAGUACGGUGGAAACCAAGGAAGCAAGUAGAGCAAGCAUAUGACAGGAGUUCCAUUGGCUGGUACGUAUCGUUCAUUCUCUCACGUAGUAUAAAGAGUUAACAGACUUGUCCUUUGGCUGAGCAGAAAAAAGUCUGCUCUUAAGAGCACAAAUAAUCUAAGCUUGAUUUAAGACUACAGGCUUAGAUUAUAUCCGUUGAGGUAUCCUUAUUUCUCAUAUCAAACAUACUUAAAAUUCCUCAUCCUCGAAGAAUAUGCUGACUUAAGUAUUGGGAAAGAAUUACAAAGAUCUUUAUAACAUGAAGUGAUGUAUCUGCUUGAUUAACUGGGUGUUCUCUGACAAGAAUCCAAGUUGCAGCAAUUCAAUAGUGAUCUCUGUAGAAAUUUAGGCAUCAAGAUUGACAAGAAAGCUAUGGGGUUGAUAGUUUCAUCCACUGAACAAUACAGUGGGUGAGUUUAUCUGCAAGACUUUAGCUUCUGAUCAGGCAUGAAAGGGAUUUAAGUUCACACAAACAACCUAAUUUUAUUAUAUCGAGGAAUUUACGCAACCAUAUCCUGUGCUCAGAGAACGGGCUUAUGUCACUCUUCUUCUUAUGCAGUUCUAAGGAUUCUCUUAAGGCAGAAAAAAAAAAAAUCCAGGUUUGCAGGUCAUCAUAUACAUCUUGAAUUGUCACAUUCAUUGUUAUGCACCAGUUUUAAGAUUCAAGCACCGCUUUAUGAUAUGAUAUUUCAUUUUCAUACAUUUUUUCAUUUCUAGUAUAAGAAAAACAAAACUCAGUUUAUAUUUCAACACUUCAACUUAACCAUCAUCAGAUAAUCUUUAUAGGCCCCAACUAGAAAUUGGUUCCUGAUUCAUUUCUUGAUAUUUCAUAUCAUAAAGGAGUAACCUUAUAUCAAGUAACUAUAUCAUGUCAUAAAGGAGUAACCUUAUCAUUGUAUCAAGUUCUAUCUUCUUCUUAUUUUAUAUUAUCUUACAAUAAAAUAAUGAUCCAGUUAUUUAUUUUCAACUUAAAUCUUGUGGAUGUGGUAUUUUGAUAGGAAUCUCAUGCAUUGGAUUUAUUUUACCUUUUUUUUUUAAUUUUCGUAUUAUUGUGAGAAAUUAUCAACUAUAAGAUGUAAGAAAAAACAAUUAGUGGGCAUUCAUUGUGUACUACUUUGUGUAACACGACAAGGUCGAGAAUUUAUGUGUGAGUUCGAAUGCACUGAAGUUAUUAUCUGGCUAGGAAUAAGAUGUGACCUUCCAUGAUCAUAAAGAGAUGCUCCCAAAAAGAUAUUAUAUAUCUCAAAGUCCUAUGAGUUAUCCUUGUAUACCAUUUUCCACUUAGGAUUUGUGUUAGUUUUGUGGCCCCAUUUGAAGAGAGUGUGAUAUCUUAAUUAGUCUCACACUAGAUAUAAAUUACAACUGUAAGUAUUCUUUUUAGAGUUGUGCAACUGUAAUAUUACAGAAGUUUGAGUUAUGAUUAUGUGGUCUUUAAAUAAAUAAAGGAAUAUUUGGAAAAACAUUUUGGCUCUGAAAUUUAAAGAGAUAAGUUUAGUGUGAUAAUAUUUUUUUGGUAUUCCAGUUAGAGUGGGGGAAAAAAUGGAAUUUGGGAUAGGGAUUGAGACAUAUGAGUGUUGUGAUGGGUUCAGAAGAACCCACCAAUUAAGAUGGAGGGGCAGCACAAGAGGACAAGGAUUCCACUACCUCGCCCUCGUGCACUGCGGGAAAAGGAGAAUGAAAGCAACAAAGUGGUGCAAGAGCUCCAUGGGUGGGAGCGCCACUCGCCCGCAGACUUGUCCUCUGCCUUGGCGACUACCGGACAAUGGCAGGGGAGGCGUAGCUCUCAUGGGCAUUCAUCUUCCCAAGCUUUGUUGCCUGUUUCCAGGACAAAUCCCUUUCUUCUUUCUUUCUACUGCUAAUGUAAGCGAGAGCUUGAAAGAGAAAUCUUGCUUUGUUGCCGCCAGGGCCCCAACCAUUGGCAGCCUCCCUCUGGUGCAAGAUGCUACAUUACAGAUGAAGAAAAGUUGGGGACUAUUACGCUGCUGUCAGUGGAGGACAAGCUACUCUAGCUGAGAGCAUGUGUUCAUUUGCAUCCACUUCCAAUUUCAGAAAAAGUAGGCUGUCUCAGCUUGUCUCU
Musa acuminata AAA Group (dessert banana) is the source of this 2486-nucleotide long non-coding RNA. RefSeq lists it as uncharacterized. The record is from RefSeq and is a predicted model, not a curated record. The transcript has 2 exons. Lineage: Eukaryota; Viridiplantae; Streptophyta; Magnoliopsida; Zingiberales; Musaceae.